GACGAACGCUGGCGGCGUGCUUAACACAUGCAAGUCGAACGGAAAGGCCCUGCUGUUGUGUGGUGCUCGAGUUGCGAACGGGUGGGUAAGUAGUGAGUAACCUGCCCGUGACUUUGGGAUAACUUCAGGAAACUGAGGCUAAUACCGGAUAGGAGCGCCUGCUUCAUGGUGGGGGUGGGAAAUUUUCGGCGGUUGGGGCUGGACUGGCGGCUCAGCAGCUGGGUGGUGGGGUAGUGGCUUACCACGGCUUGGACGGGUAGCCGGCUUGAGAGGGUGACCGGCCCCAUUGGAACAGAGGUAGGGGCCAGACUCCUACGGGCGGAAGCAGUGGGGAACAGUCCACAAUGGGCGGCAGCAUGAUGGAGCAACGCCGCGUGCGGGAUGACGGCCUUCGGGUUGUAAACGGCUUUCGCCUGUGACGAAGCGUGAGUGACGGUAAUGGGUAAAGAAGCACCGGCUAACUACGUG
This 468-nucleotide ribosomal RNA is filed under the name uncultured bacterium. RNAcentral's name for it is "partial 16S ribosomal RNA". It matches the Rfam family "Bacterial small subunit ribosomal RNA", at positions 28 to 507 of the family's 1533-position model. The record is from RNAcentral.